UUGGAGGGCAAGUCUGGUGCCAGCAGCCGCGGUAAUUCCAGCUCCAAUAGCGUAUAUUAAAGUUGUUGCAGUUAAAAAGCUCGUAGUUGAAUUUCGGGGCCAGUAGGUCGGUCGUGCCACUGGUAUGCACUGGUCUCACUGGUCCCUCCCUCUUGAAGAACCGUGAUGCCAUUAAUUUGGUGUUGCGGGGAAACAGGACUGUUACUUUGAAAAAAUUAGAGUGCUUAAAGCAGGCUUACGCUUGAAUACAUUAGCAUGGAAUAACGAAAUAGGACGAUCGAUUCUAUUUUGUUGGUUUCUAGGAUCGACGUAAUGAUUAAUAGGGAUAGUUGGGGGCAUUAGUAUUCAAUUGUCAGAGGUGAAAUUCUUGGAUUUAUUGAAGACUAACUACUGCGAAAGCAUUUGCCAAGGAUGUUUUCAUUAAUCAAGAACGAAAGUUAGGGGAUCGAAGACGAUCAGAUACCGUCGUAGUCUUAACCAUAAACUAUGCCGACUAGGGAUCGGAUGAAGUUAAUUUUUUAAUGACUCAUUCGGCGCCUUACGGGAAA
Molecule: ribosomal RNA, 548 nt
Filed under: uncultured Glomus
Lineage: Eukaryota; Fungi; Glomeromycota; Glomeromycetes; Glomerales; Glomeraceae
Description: SSU rRNA
Rfam family: Eukaryotic small subunit ribosomal RNA
Source: RNAcentral